UACGUAGGGACCGAGCGUUGUCCGGAUUCAUUGGGCGUAAAGAGCUCGUAGGCGGCUGCUCAAGUCGAAUGUGAAAACUCGAGGCUCAACCUCGAGCCUGCAUUCGAUACUGGGCGGCUAGAGUCUGGUAGGGGGAUCUGGAAUUCCUGGUGUAGCGGUGAAAUGCGCAGAUAUCAGGAGGAACACCGGUGGCGAAGGCGGGUCUCUGGGCCGAUACUGACGCUGAGGAGCGAAAGCGUGGGGAGCGAACAGG
Molecule: ribosomal RNA, 253 nt
Filed under: uncultured bacterium
Lineage: Bacteria
Description: partial 16S ribosomal RNA
Rfam family: Bacterial small subunit ribosomal RNA
Source: RNAcentral